CAAAUGAGUAAAAGAGAAUGAAACUAAAUAAACAUAAAAUUAAACAUGAAAAUUUAAUUCCCUGCUACGUAUGCACUUCCCAUCAAAACAAUGGAGCAAUGGAUUGCAAAUAUUCUUCCAAACCAAUGCUCAAUGUACCACAACCUAGAGUAAGAAUACUUCUUCUGUUCCAACAUCUGCUCACCGUAUAUUCCCUUUGAUUCCAGCAUUUCCUCACUAUGAUUUCAACUGGAUAUAUCAGCUCACCUUAACUCCGAGCCUUCCCAUU
Molecule: unclassified non-coding RNA, 268 nt
Filed under: Hevea brasiliensis (rubber tree)
Lineage: Eukaryota; Viridiplantae; Streptophyta; Magnoliopsida; Malpighiales; Euphorbiaceae
Source: RNAcentral